GACGAACGCUGGCGGCGUGCCUAACACAUGCAAGUCGAACGAAGAGCGACGGAAGCUUGCUUCUAUCAAUCUUAGUGGCGAACGGGUGAGUAACGCGUAAUCAACCUGCCCUUCAGAGGGGGACAACAGUUGGAAACGACUGCUAAUACCGCAUACGAUCUAACCUCGGCAUCGAGGAUAGAUGAAAGGCGGCCUCUACAUGUAAGCUAUCACUGAAGGAGGGGAUUGCGUCUGAUUAGCUAGUUGGAGGGGUAACGGCCCACCAAGGCGAUGAUCAGUAGCCGGUCUGAGAGGAUGAACGGCCACAUUGGGACUGAGACACGGCCCAGACUCCUACGGGAGGCAGCAGUGGGGAAUCUUCCGCAAUGGACGAAAGUCUGACGGAGCAACGCCGCGUGAGUGAUGACGGCCUUCGGGUUGUAAAGCUCUGUUAAUCGGGACGAAAGGCCUUCUUGCGAAUAGUGAGAAGGAUUGACGGUACCGGAAGAGAAAGCCACGGCUAACUACGUG
Molecule: ribosomal RNA, 510 nt
Filed under: uncultured bacterium
Lineage: Bacteria
Description: partial 16S ribosomal RNA
Rfam family: Bacterial small subunit ribosomal RNA
Source: RNAcentral